This 512-nucleotide ribosomal RNA is filed under the name uncultured soil bacterium. RNAcentral describes it as "bacterial SSU rRNA". It matches the Rfam family "Bacterial small subunit ribosomal RNA", at positions 26 to 519 of the family's 1533-position model. The record is from RNAcentral.
AGAUUGAACGCUGGCGGCAUGCCUUACACAUGCAAGUCGAACGGCAGCACGGGAGCAAUCCUGGUGGCGAGUGGCGAACGGGUGAGUAAUAUAUCGGAACGUGCCCAGUCGUGGGGGAUAACGUAGAGAAAUUUACGCUAAUACCGCAUACGAUCCAAGGAUGAAAGCGGGGGACCUAAGGCCUCGCGCGACUGGAGCGGCUGAUAUCAGAUUAGCUUGUUGGUGAGGUAAAAGCUCACCAAGGCGACGAUCUGUAGCUGGUUUGAGAGAACGACCAGCCACACUGGACUGAGACACGGCCCAGACUCCUACGGGAGCAGCAGUGGGAAUUUGGACAAGUGGGCGAAAGCCUGAUCCAGCAAAUGCCGCGUGCAAGGAAGAAGGCCUUGGUUGUAAACGUGUACCGUUUUGUACGGAGCGAAAAGGUCUACGACCCUAAGUACGGCGGAACCCAAGUCGAACGGUACCGUAAGAAUAACGACGACCGGACUAACGUACGUACGCCAGCCAGA